This 774-nucleotide ribosomal RNA is filed under the name uncultured Neocallimastigales. RNAcentral describes it as "partial large subunit ribosomal RNA". It matches the Rfam family "Eukaryotic large subunit ribosomal RNA", at positions 23 to 634 of the family's 3401-position model. The record is from RNAcentral. Lineage: Eukaryota; Fungi; Neocallimastigomycota; Neocallimastigomycetes; Neocallimastigales.
AGAGAGAGACAUGCGCGCAUAUCAAUAAGCGGAGGAAAAGAAACUAACAAGGAUUCCCUUAGUAACGGCGAGUGAAGCGGGAAGAGCUCAAUUUGAAAUCUUCAAGGUUCUACCUUGACGAAUUGUAGUUUAAAGAAGUGUUUUCUGUUGAAGUUUUGGUAAAAGUUCUUUGGAAUAGGACAUCAUAGAGGGUGAGAAUCCCGUAUUUGACCAUUAUUUUCCAGCUUUGUGAUACACUUUCAAAGAGUCGGAUUGUUUGGGAAUGCAGUCCAAAAUGGGUGGUAAAUUUCACCUAAAGCUAAAUAUUGGCGAGAGACCGAUAGCGAACAAGUACCGUGAGGGAAAGAUGAAAAGAACUUUGAAAAGAGAGUUAAACAGUACGUGAAAUUGUCAAAAGGGAAGCGUUUGACACCAGUGUUGUUUUCUCGAAAAUCAAUUAAAAAUGGCUCGAUUUUGUAUUGUUGAGACCUUAAAAGCUCACUGUACAUUUUUCGUGUCUUUUUUAAUGCACUUUUCGUUUAACAAGUCAACAUCAGUUUCUUUUGUUGUAAAAGGGUCAUUGGAAGGUGGCUUUCUUUUCGGAGAAAGUGUUUAUAGCCUUUGGCCUCUGCGAUCGGAGAGACUGAGGUCUGCAGCGUAGACUCUUCGGGGUUAGAUACAUUUGUGCUAAGUUAUAGCUUUUAUAGACAACUUGUUGACUAUGAUUAGUCAUUGUAGCUUACUCGCUUAUGCUAUUUUACCUACGCUUAGGAUGUUGAGUCGUAGAGCACGCAG